CAGCAGCCGCGGGAAUACGUAGGUGGCAAGCGUUAUCCGGAAUUAUUGGGCGUAAAGCGCGCGUAGGCGGUUUCUUAAGUCUGAUGUGAAAGCCCACGGCUCAACCGUGGAGGGUCAUUGGAAACUGGGAAACUUGAGUGCAGAAGAGGAAAGUGGAAUUCCAUGUGUAGCGGUGAAAUGCGCAGAGAUAUGGAGGAACACCAGUGGCGAAGGCGACUUUCUGGUCUGUAACUGACGCUGAUGUGCGAAAGCGUGGGGAUCAAACAGGAUUAGAUACCCCAGUAGUCCCUGUCUCUUAUAC
This 301-nucleotide ribosomal RNA is filed under the name uncultured bacterium. Its description in RNAcentral is "partial 16S ribosomal RNA". It matches the Rfam family "Bacterial small subunit ribosomal RNA", at positions 509 to 807 of the family's 1533-position model. The record is from RNAcentral.